AAGAGAUGUGUGAUGACGCAUAUCAAUAAGCGGAGGAAAAGAAACUAACAAGGAUUCCCUUAGUAACGGCGAGUGAAGCGGGAAGAGCUCAAAUUUGAAAUCUUCAAGGUUCUACCUUGACGAAUUGUAGUUUAUAGAAGUGUUUUCUGUUAGUAGAGUGGCAAAAGUUCUUUGGAAUAGGACAUCAUAGAGGGUGAGAAUCCCGUAUUUGGUCAUUCUUUCUAGCUUUAUGAUACACUUUCAACGAGUCGGAUUGUUUGGGAAUGCAGUCCAAAAUGGGUGGUAAAUUUCAUCUAAAGCUAAAUAUUGGCGAGAGACCGAUAGCGAACAAGUACCGUGAGGGAAAGAUGAAAAGAACUUUGAAAAGAGAGUUAAACAGUACGUGAAAUUGUCAAAAGGGAAGCGUUCGACACCAGUGUUGUUUUUCCGAAAAUCAAUUACGAAUGUUUUGUUUUUAAGAAGUUGUGACUUCAUCGGCUUGCUUCUUUCUUUACGAAACUUUCUUAAUGCACUUUUCGGUUAACAAGUCAACAUCAAUUUCUUUUGUUGUAAAAGGGUAUGAGGAAGGUGGCUUUCUUUUCGGAGAAAGUGUUUAUAGCCUUGUACCUCUGCAAUCGGAGAGAUUGAGGUCUGCAGCGUAGAUCCUUCGGGGUUAGAUACAUUUGUGCUAAGUUAUAGCUUUUCAUAGACAACUUGUUGACUAUGUUAAGUCUUGUAGCUUACUCGCUUAUGCUAUUUUACCUACGCUUAGGAUGUUGAUAGUCACAGCGUGUAC
RNAcentral lists this ribosomal RNA (775 nucleotides) under uncultured Neocallimastigales. RNAcentral's name for it is "partial large subunit ribosomal RNA". It matches the Rfam family "Eukaryotic large subunit ribosomal RNA", at positions 20 to 645 of the family's 3401-position model. The record is from RNAcentral. Lineage: Eukaryota; Fungi; Neocallimastigomycota; Neocallimastigomycetes; Neocallimastigales.